This 254-nucleotide ribosomal RNA is filed under the name uncultured bacterium. RNAcentral's name for it is "partial 16S ribosomal RNA". It matches the Rfam family "Bacterial small subunit ribosomal RNA", at positions 524 to 776 of the family's 1533-position model. The record is from RNAcentral.
UACGGGGGGAGCAAGCGUUGUUCGGAUUUACUGGGCGUAAAGGGCGCGUAGGCGGUCAGCACAAGUCAGUUGUGAAAUCUCCGGGCUUAACUCGGAAAGGUCAACUGAUACUGUGCGACUAGAGUGCAGAAGGGGCAACUGGAAUUCUCGGUGUAGCGGUGAAAUGCGUAGAUAUCGGGAGGAACACCAGAGGCGUAAGCGGCUUUCUAGGCGAUUACUGACGCUGAGGCGCGAAAGCGUGGGGAGCAAACCGG